This is a long non-coding RNA of Glossina fuscipes, 330 nucleotides long. RefSeq lists it as uncharacterized. The transcript is spliced from 4 exons. NCBI's taxonomy places the organism in Eukaryota, Metazoa, Arthropoda, Insecta, Diptera, Glossinidae. The record is from RefSeq and is a predicted model, not a curated record.
CUGACACCACAACCAAUGUUGUUGUUAUCGUAGUCUGAACUGUUGUUCCUGUUGUUGUUAUGAUACUUCCAUUUUCAUUGUUACACAAACUAUAAAAGUUAUAUGAAGAGCACAAGCAAACUUCUAUGCUGGUAUUUCUCCGAUUGACGAUGACGAUACCUUAACACAAUCGGGCAUACCAUCUGACCUACAAAGGAAAAGUAAAUUAUACCCACAGUUUUCUAAAGUUCGUAUGUUCAUCUAUAUGCUUUGCCGAAAUCCGAAGGGAAUUUUAUCCUGAUACCGGAACAGCCCAAAUUGUCGCAGUUAUUGGUGGCCGCAAUUUAAAAG